Molecule: long non-coding RNA, 3437 nt
Organism: Acinonyx jubatus (cheetah)
Lineage: Eukaryota; Metazoa; Chordata; Mammalia; Carnivora; Felidae
Exons: 4
Source: RefSeq, a predicted model, not a curated record
GGCCUGCGUCGGGCUCUGUGCUGACAGCUGAGAGCCUGGAGCCUGCUUCGGAUUCUGUGUCUCUCUCUCUCUCUGCCCCUCCCGUGCUCACGCUCGCUCUCUCUCUCUCUGUCUCUCAAAAAUAAAUAAGCCUCAAAAAAAUUCAGAAAUGCACAUUUCCAAGCUAUACUCCCCAGACUUUCUGAUUUGGCAGGUUUGGGGGACCUCCCAGGAGGUCCCCAGUUUUGGCAGUCAUCUCAGGAGGCCUCCGCGGGGCUAGGAAUGGAAAGUCACUCAGCUUUGCCGCUUGGCUGCAGAGAAUUCUUCUUUGCGUGAGCCACUUGUUUCAUCAGGGCUCAUUUUCUCUAGUGAAAGAGACACUCAGCUUGCCCAUGCCAACUCCUGUCUUCGUACCCACGCGGUCCCUGCAUGGCCCGGCCCCGCCCCAUCCGGCAGCAAAGACUGGAACCAACAGCACUCGCCCCCUGAGAACCCUAGGCCUUAGAACCUGAGACGCAUGCCGGCCACGGAGGAGGGCACAGAGGGCUGGUCAGCCCGAAUCACUGUUCAUCUAUUCAUCUCAUGCGUCACACGUUCUCUGGGAAGGGCCCCCGGGUCGGGGUUAGAAAUGAGUAAGGCAGGGCACCUGGGUGGUUCAGUCGGCCGAACGUCAGACUUCGGCUCGGGUGAUGAUCUUGCAGUUCGUGAGUUCGAGCCCCACAUCGGGCUCCGUGCAGACAGUGCAGAGCCUGCUUUGGAUCCUCUGUCUCCCUCUCUCUGCCCCUCCCCUGUUUGCGGUCUCCCCAAAAUAUAUAAAAACAUUAAAAAAAAUAAAUGAAUAAGACAGUAAGACAGACUCUGCCCUCAGGAGACUCACGGUUUAGGAGGAAAAAACAAAAUCUCAAGACCGUCCUGUAAGGCACAACCUCGGGAUGCACCUGCUGUGGGCCUGCGGAGGAGAGAGCCCAAAAUCUGCCCCAAGAGGCGGGUGGAGGAGGCUUGUUUAUGCCAGGCCUUGAAGGCUGUGAAGAGGUUUCCAGCCGAUGGACAAAGAGGAAAGACGUCCUGGGAAGAAGGAACAGAAGGAACAAGGCGUGGAGGCACGAACAGGGAACCCUGGCCAAUACGGAGUUCGUCUCUCAAGCUGGUCUGAUUGGUAGUGGCUGCCUCGAAGGCUGUGUUGAGAAGGAUUCUGAGACCACAUCGAGGCACGGUGAGUAAAGUGAAUACGAGCUCUCCAGUAAGAGCAGAGAACGGCUCUGUCUUGUAAAUUGUAUCCCCAGUCAGUGUCUAGGACCCCACCUACGGCAUGGGCGGUACCCUGUGAUGAUAAAUACGUUUUGUGAAGGAAUGAAUGAUCUUUUAGCAAUGUCUGCCAGGGACACAGUGGUGGAGAAGCGGACCAUUGCUGAUGCGUUUCACCAGAGAGGAAACUGAGGCCCCAGGAGGACUUUGCUCAAGGUCACACAGCUAACUGAGAGGUGACACGUUCAAGUGUUAAACACACGUCUUCUGACUCUCUCGCCGCAAAGCCCUUCGGUAUCCUGUCUGAGUAGGGAUUUGAAGGGAACAGUUUUCAGGACAAGGGAAGCACCUGCUGGAAAAAGAGGCUCCGUUCCUUGUUUAAAAGAUUUUUUUUUUUUUACAUUUAUUUAUUUUUGAUCGAGAGACAGAGCCCGAGCGGGGAAGGGGCAGAGAGAGAAGGAGACAGAAUCCGAAGCAGGCUCCAGGCUCCCAGCUGUCAGCACAGAGCCCGACGCGGGGCCCGAACUCGCAGACCGCGAGAUCAUGACCUGAGCCGACCCAGGUGGCCUCUCUUCCUGUUUGGUCCUCUGUUUGCUCUUCGGGCCUCUGUGCCCUGAACGCCCCACACUCCGGGAGCCUCCCCGCCCAGCUGCAUUCUACAAGUCACCCUUGCACCCGGCCUGCUCAGGUUCCCUCCUAGAAGGACGUUGCCAAGUGGCGGUGAGGGGCUCCCCACCGCAGGCCACGAUGCCCACGUCCCUCAAACACCUCUGGCUUUGCCCAGGCCUGACGGCUGGGUCCGGAGGUCCAACCGGCCCCUCCGGGAGCAUUGCCUAGGUGGGUGGGGCUUUCUGGGUUGUAGUAAUGGGGUGGGGGGCAGGGGAGCCUGACAGCACGAGGGCCUACCUCGGAGCCUGGCGUGCAGUGGGGCUCCGGUGGAAGUGUGCGGAAUGACUGAAGGAACAUUCAAGACGGAUGGACAUGGGAAUCGAGAGGAGGUGAGGGCCACUGUGUUCGCUCCCUACUGCGUCACCCAGCUGGCCUAAGCGGCUGGCUGCUGUCGUUUCCAAAGGACAGGACUGGCUUCCUUGCUAGGGGAUGGCCCUUCGUCCCCCUCUCCGUGUCCCUGUGUCCCUACCACACCGUGGGCCUAUGGGGAUGGCCGUUUUCCCCUGUAGGCCAGGACCCCGCUGGGUUUGAGUCCUGGCUCUGGAAGAUAGGGGGCUGCUUAGUAAGGCUUCAUGUCUGCGGUGUAGAAAGAGAACGGGAACAGUCAUACUUGUUUUCGAGGGUUAAGAAUUCAGCGAGUUAAUAUAGGGAAAGCUCUGCAAAUAGAGGCUGAUAGGUAGCAAGUGUUCAACUAACGUUAACUACCGUAAUGGUGGUGGUGGGGACUGCCACCCGUCGUUCAGAGAACAUUAAGGCUCAGAGAGGUUGAGUAACGUACUUCAGGGGAACCAGCUCCUAACAGAUACAAAUGUGCCUCCACAUCCGUUUCUUCCUCAACCCAGAAGGCGUGAGCAUUCCCAGUGGCCAGAGAAAAGUUUAGAUGGAGGAGUGAGUGGGAGUUCCCACUUCUCUUGGAAAUGCUAGGAAUUCUGCCCCCCACCAGGGUUCUGAGACGUUCCUGCAGGUGUGAGAAGUGAUUUUGGUUCUUUCCUGGGAAAAGCUGGGCCAGUGUGUGUGUGUGUGUGUGUGUGUGUGUGUGUGUGCGUGUGUGCACGUGUGCAGGUGCACCCAUGUGUGAUCGUGGUGGCGGGGAGAAGCUGUUCUUUGUUUCUCCGGAGACAGAGCUGCCCCGCCAGAGCGGGCCCGAUGGCAGAUGGUGGGGCAGGGCAGGGGCCUAGCCGACCCGAGGACCGCUGCAGACCUUUUCAGUGUCUAUAUCUGGGGUUGCUGUGCCCUCUGGGCCCCUGGAUCCCAACAGGGGCUGGCUCUUUGUGUCGGCCAAUUUCAAACUGUUAGAUGCACGCCGGGGUCACGCCCCCAGUGGGUGCCCAGGGCAGGCAAACUCAUUUCAGUAUUAGCUGACGUCGGAGAGGAUUCAAAAGUGAAAUCUGUAGCAAGGGGGGGCAAAAAUUAAGUUCAUCGAAUGCAUUUCAAAGCCAAAUAAAAAUGGCUUUUGGGUCCUCUCCUGUUUUUGGAUUAUCCUUGCCUGGAUUCCCAUCUGCCUGCAUGGAUUAUCCGCGUCUGUGUGAAUGGAUGUGUGUGCU